Molecule: long non-coding RNA, 883 nt
Organism: Limulus polyphemus (Atlantic horseshoe crab)
Lineage: Eukaryota; Metazoa; Arthropoda; Merostomata; Xiphosura; Limulidae
Exons: 2
Source: RefSeq, a predicted model, not a curated record
AUGCUGUAAGACACCAUUUUAGUUAACUCAGAAUUGUUGUUAAUUAAUGACUGUUGUUCAAAUAUAUAUAUAUGCUGUGUAUAUGAAUAAACACACACAAUGCUUUUGAUUUUCUAGAGUUACAUUUUUGAACAUCUUGGUUUGCAAAGACAUCUUGUAAAAUGUUUGGAACAGUUGAGUAUUUCAAUUUCUUUAAAAUGUAAUUUUUAUUCUAAACUUCUUAUUUCUUUUUUAGGAUGGGGAACCUGAUAGCGAUGAUGAGAGUUUACCAGACCUGGAGUGAUUGAACCAUCCAGUACCACUAAAACAAAAUUUAUAAUUACCUAGGCUCAGUAUGAGCAUUUCCUGGGUCAUAAUUUCUGUGGUUGCUAAAAAUCCCCAAGUUUUAAAACUGUUCCAGGGCUUCAGUGUUAAUAACACAAUUCCUCCAUUCUUUGAUAGUUAUAUCAAUUAAAGUUACGUUUUGUCAUCACAUGUCAGAGAGUAAAGUAGAAUAGUACAAUUGUUGAAAUUUAAAAAUUUAUAUGCAAAAACAAUGCCUAUUUAGACAGUUAUCAGGGAUGCUCAAAUGUAUGCCUGUUUUUUUUUUCUCAAAUGUUGGUAAUAAUAUUAAAUCUCAAAGUAGUAGAUUUUCCAUGAUAUAUAUGUGCGUUUGUUGUCUUCAAAAUUCUCAAUUAUUUUCUGAGAAGCUUAUGAAACUUGUGUGAAUUAUAUUUUAGCACUUACAAAAAAGAAAGAGAAGAUUUCAAAAAUAUUACUCAAAAACUCUUAAGUCUGUUUUGAUUAAUUAUUUUUAUUUAAUAAUUAUACUUGACACUUUGGUCCUGGAACUUAUUUGGAAGAGAAGAAGAAAAAAAGUGUUGUUUUUUUAUACAUACCUCCC